AUGAUCACUCCCUUGUGCCUGGAAAACACAGCAGUUGAGAAAACAACUAGUACAAUCUCCGUGCAGGCCAGCCUGCGUUUCAGGUGCUUCUCCCUGCAGAGAGCCUCCUGUUACCUUCCUACCUCCUUCCUUGAGCCCAGCUCAUCCCUGGGCUGUGGAGAAGCCAAGCUCAAAGUGGCAGAAGAGCAAGCUUUCCCCUCCUCAGUCCCGUUCCUGGGGGUUCAUGGUUUGUCUCUGUGCUCGCUGAGUGCCUGUAACUCAUGAAUCAAGAAGCUAAAGGUCACUGCACAGAAUCUGUCCAUCACACAGACCUUGCCUCAGGAAUGCAGCCACUGGAUCCAUCCUUUGGUGAGCAAUGUAAGCUUGGUCAUUCUGAAUGUCUGUUCUCUCAUCUUGAUGUUUUCCUUUGACAUUAAAGAGCCAAUUGCUGGUAUUUUGCUGGAUUUAGUUUGGAUAGAAUGGAAGCAGUCAGAUUUCAUCCUUUUAUAUAAUUCUAGCCUAGCCCUGGAGACAGCUGUGAAUCCACAGAGGUCUGACUUCUAUUCAUAACUGGUUUCAGUCCUGUGUUGCUUAUUGUGUGUGUCUGAGAUCAGUAAAAAUUAAACAUCGAUUAAAAGUUUUCUGAUGGCAGUAACUGAAAAGGCAAUGGGAUACUCAGAAAUUAUUUUCUACUCCACAGUUUUUUUCAUAAGCUUUUUUCUUAGUAUCUGUUUGCCAUGGGAUCUAUAGCUGCCUGUCUUAUAA
This 744-nucleotide long non-coding RNA is filed under the name Anser brachyrhynchus (Pink-footed goose). RNAcentral's name for it is "lncRNA (ENSABRG00000012014.1)". The record is from RNAcentral. Lineage: Eukaryota; Metazoa; Chordata; Aves; Anseriformes; Anatidae.